CCUAAUACAUGCAAGUCGAGGGGUAUGAUUUUGAGUUUACUUGAAAUCAGAGACCGGCGCACGGGUGCGUAACACGUAUGCAACCUACCCUUUACAGGGGGAUAGCUCAGAGAAAUCUGAAUUAAUACCCCAUAGUUACAUUUCGCUGCAUGGUGAGAUGUAUAAAGCUCCGGCGGUAAAGGAUGGGCAUGCGUUACAUUAGCUAGUUGGUGAGGUAAUGGCUCACCAAGGCUACGAUGUAUAGGGGUUCUGAGAGGAUGAUCCCCCACACUGGUACUGAGACACGGACCAGACUCCUACGGGAGGCAGCAGUAGGGAAUAUUGGACAAUGGACGCAAGUCUGAUCCAGCCAUGCCGCGUGCAGGAUGACAGCCCUCUGGGUUGUAAACUGCUUUUAUAUGAGAAGAAACCCUCAGAUGCGUUUGAGGCUGACGGUAUCAUAUGAAUAAGGAUCGGCUAACUUCGUGCCAGCAGCCGCGGUAAGACGAAGGAUCCAAGCGUUGUCCGGAUUUACUGG
RNAcentral lists this ribosomal RNA (517 nucleotides) under uncultured bacterium. Its description in RNAcentral is "bacterial SSU rRNA". It matches the Rfam family "Bacterial small subunit ribosomal RNA", at positions 47 to 557 of the family's 1533-position model. The record is from RNAcentral.